RNAcentral lists this non-coding RNA (45 nucleotides) under Schistosoma mansoni. The record is from RNAcentral. Lineage: Eukaryota; Metazoa; Platyhelminthes; Trematoda; Strigeidida; Schistosomatidae.
AUCCAGCUGACGAGUCCCAAAUAGGACGAGACUCGCAUCGUGGAU